RNAcentral lists this ribosomal RNA (460 nucleotides) under uncultured bacterium. RNAcentral's name for it is "partial 16S ribosomal RNA". It matches the Rfam family "Bacterial small subunit ribosomal RNA", at positions 338 to 795 of the family's 1533-position model. The record is from RNAcentral.
CCUACGGGAGGCAGCAGUGAGGAAUAUUGGUCAAUGGACGAGAGUCUGAACCAGCCAAGUAGCGUGAAGGAUGACUGCCCUAUGGGUUGUAAACUUCUUUUAUAUGGGAAUAAAACGUUCCACGUGUGGGAUUUUGUAUGUACCAUAUGAAUAAGGAUCGGCUAACUCCGUGCCAGCAGCCGCGGUAACACGGAGGAUCCGAGCGUUAUCCGGAUUUAUUGGGUUUAAAGGGAGCGUAGGUGGAUUGUUAAGUCAGUUGUGAAAGUUUGCGGCUCAACCGUAAAAUUGCAGUUGAAACUGGCAGUCUUGAGUACAGUAGAGGUGGGCGGAAUUCGUGGUGUAGCGGUGAAAUGCUUAGAUAUCACGAAGAACUCCGAUUGCGAAGGCAGUUCACUGGACUGCAACUGACACUGAGGCUCGAAAGUGUGGGUAUCAAACAGGAUUAGAUACCCGUGUAGUC